ACAAAGAGCAGCAAGUUCGCGAGGACAAGCAAAUCUCAUAAACCGUGGCUCAGUUCAGAUCGUAGGCUGCAACUCGCCUACGUGAAGGAGGAAUCGCUAGUAAUCGCAGGUCAGCAUACUGCGGUGAAUACGUUCCCGGGCCUUGUACACACCGCCCGUCACACCAUGGAAGUUGGCCACGCCCGAAGCCGUUACUCCAACCCUUGUGGAGGAGGACGUCGAAGGUGGGGCUGAUGACUGGGUGAAGUCGUAACAAGGUAGCCGUACCGGAAGGUGCGGCUGGAUCACCUCCUAAC
Molecule: ribosomal RNA, 296 nt
Filed under: uncultured Synechococcus sp.
Lineage: Bacteria; Bacillati; Cyanobacteriota; Cyanophyceae; Synechococcales; Synechococcaceae
Description: partial 16S ribosomal RNA
Rfam family: Bacterial small subunit ribosomal RNA
Source: RNAcentral